GUUGGGUAGUAGAUGUCUAGCAUUCCCAACUUGCUUUUCAUGUUUUCGUAGGUGGCCUUUGGAAGUGCCUUUGUCAGAAUGUCUGCUGUUUGACGACUUGAAGGAAUAUACAUAAGUCUGAUUGUUCCCCCUUCAAGUUUCUCCUUGAUGAAGUGACGGUCUAUCUCCACGUGCUUGGUUCUGUCGUGUUGAACUGGAUUCUUUGCAAUACUUAUGGUAGCCUUGUUAUCACACAAAACUGUCAUAGUGGAGUUUGAUAUAAUUCCAAGUUCCUUGAGUAUUCUUUGGAGCCACAUUCCUUCACAUAUCCCAUGAGCCAUUGCCCUGAAUUCUGCCUCUGCACUGCUUCUCGCCACUACGGAUUGCUUCUUGCUUCUCCAAGUCACUAAGUUUCCCCACACAUAGGAACAAUACCCAGUAGUUGACCUCCGAUCUGUCAAGGAUCUUGCCCAAUCAGCAUCUGUGAAUACCUCAACUUCCCUACUUGAGGUUUUCUUGAAGUAGAGUCCUCUACCCGGGCUCUUUUUAAGGUACUGUAAAAUUCUGUAUACGGCUUUCAUGUGUCUUUCAGUGGGAUUGUUCAUGUAGCGGCUUACCAUGCUCACAGCGAAACCAAUAUCGGGCCUUGUGUGAGUUAAGUAGAUCAACUUUCCUACUAACCUCUGGUACCUGUCUUUGUCAGUUGGAUGACUGUCAUUAUCUUUAUCAAUCUUACCAAUAGGAUCCAUAGGCGUGUCCACUGGCUUACAACCUAGCAUUCCAGUCUCCUGAAGUAGAUCAAGGACAUACUUCCUUUGCGUGACCACAAUUCCCUCCUUAGUUCUGCCAAUUUCCAUGCCAAGAAAGUAUCUGAGUUGUCAAAGAUCUUUGAUUUCAAAUUCUCUUGCUAGCAGCUUCUUGAGAUUCCCUAUCCCUUCUUCAUCGUCUCCGGUAAUUAUAAUAUCAUCAACAUAGACAAUGAACAAAGUCAUUUCACCUUCCUUAGAGUGCUUCAUAAACAGUGUGUGAUCUGCUUGACAUUGGAUGAACCCAUGUUUUUUCACAACUCUAGUCAGUCGAUCAAACCAGGCCCUAGGUGACUGUUUUAGACCGUAUAAGGACUUUCUCAGUUUACACACUUUUCCUGAAUUUUCUGGAGUUUCCAUACUAGGUGGAAUCUUCAUGUAGACUUCCUCUUCUAGUUCUCCGUUGAGAAAUGCAUUUUUGACAUCAAGUUGGUGCAGAUUCCAGUCCAAAUUUACUGCAACUGACAAUAACACUCUGAUGGAGUUGAGCUUUGCUACUGGUGCAAAUGUCUCUUCAUAAUCAAUGCCAUAGGAUUGAGUAAAUCCUUUAGCUACUAGUCGAGCCUUGAACCUGUUUAUACUUCCAUCUGGAUUGUGCUUCACGGUAAAUAUUCACUUGCAUCCAACAGGCCUCUUACCCUCUGGUAAUUCUGAGAUUUCCCAUGUCCCAUUUUUCUCCAAUGCUUGUAUUUCUUCCUGAACAGCAGUCUUCCAUUUAGGAUGUUGAAGUGCUUCUUGGAUGUUGGAUGGGAUACGAUCAUCUUCAAGAGAAGUGAUGAACGCUUGGAAAUUCUGUGAAAGCUUUCCAUAGGACACAUGAUUACUGAUUGGAUGCUGAGUGCAGGAUCUUACACCUUUCCUUAAAGCAAUGGGUUGAUCAAGAUCAUCAAGGUCAUUAUUGGAAUUUAGAUCAUAAAUUGUGUUACCUGGUUGUGAGUUUGGGUUGCUUGGAUCCUGGUCCAAUUCUUGGUUCUGCUCAGUUGACUCAGGUAUGACAGAAGGGACAUCCAAGGAAUUGUUUUCGGGGACAGAAAGAGUAGUAUCUGUUUGAGGAGGCAGUGAUGAACUCAAAGGAGAAGUAGUGCUGAUUUCGGUUUCCCAGAAUUGGAAUUCAUCUGUGGACCAGUUCUCCCCCUGAAUUGCAAUUUUGGGGUAGAAGGGUUGAUUUUCGAAGAAAGUGACAUCCAUGGAAGUGUAGAAUUUCUUGGUUGGAGAGUAGCACUUGUAUCCUUUUUGGUUUGGUGAGUACCCGAGAAAGAUGCAUUUAGUGGCUGUCGUAUCAAGUUUACUACGUAGGGACUUAUGGAUGUGAACGAAAGCAGUACAACCAAAGACUUUGAUUGGGAUAGACGAGAUUAUUCGAGCGGAUGGAUAUGCAACGAGGAGGAUUUGACACGGGGUUUUAAAAUGAAGAAUCCUAGAAGGCAUUCGGUUGAUCAAGUAGGUUGCUGUGAGUACAGCUUCACCCCAUAAUUGUUUAGGCACGUUUGAAGCUAUCAUGAGGGAUCGUGCAACCUCCAUCAAAUGUCUAUUUUUCCUUUCUACAACUCCAUUUUGCUGUGGAGUAUCAAUGCACGAGCUUUGAUGUACAAUGCCAUUCUCCAGAAGAUAUGACCCAAGAGUGUUGUGAUAGUAUUCUCGAGCAUUAUCUGUCCGAAGGACUUGAAUUUUUGCCUGAAACUGUGUCUGAACCAUGUUGUUGAAGUUUUCAAAUAUUUCCCUCACUUCUGAUUUCUUUUUCAUAAGGAAUACCCAAGUCACUCGAGUGUGGUCAUCAACAAAGGUGACAAACCAUCUAGAACCUGUAAUGUUGUUGAUUCUAGAGGCCCCCCAAACAUCACUGUGAAUCAAGGAAAAAAGAUGAGAUGGUUUGUAUGGUUGAAUGGAAUAGGAGUUGCGAGUAUGUUUGGACAAUUGACAUAUUUCGCAUUGAAA
Vitis riparia (riverbank grape) is the source of this 2720-nucleotide long non-coding RNA. RefSeq lists it as uncharacterized. The transcript has 2 exons. NCBI's taxonomy places the organism in Eukaryota, Viridiplantae, Streptophyta, Magnoliopsida, Vitales, Vitaceae. The record is from RefSeq and is a predicted model, not a curated record.